UUACGGCCAGAUCCCGUUGAAAGACCAGUUUCCGUGCGAUCACCUAAGUUAAGCAAUGUCGAACCUGGUCAGUAUUUAAAUGGGUGACCGCUUGGGAAUAACAGGUGCU
Non-coding RNA from Acanthosepion pharaonis, 109 nucleotides. Lineage: Eukaryota; Metazoa; Mollusca; Cephalopoda; Sepiida; Sepiidae. The record is from the annotation of a GenBank genome assembly.